GACGAACGCUGGCGGCGUGCUUAACACAUGCAAGUCGAACGGUAAGGCCCUUCGGGGUACACGAGUGGCGAACGGGUGAGUAACACGUGGGUGAUCUGCCCUGCACUUCGGGAUAAGCCCGGGAAACUGGGUCUAAUACCGGAUAGGACCACUGCCUGCAUGGGUGGUGGUGGAAAGCUUUUGCGGUGUGGGAUGGGCCCGCGGCCUAUCAGCUUGUUGGUGGGGUGAUGGCCUACCAAGGCGACGACGGGUAGCCGGGCUGAGAGGGUGACCUGCCACACUGGUACUGAGAUACGGCCCAUACUCCGACGGGAGGCAGCAGUGGGGAAUAUUGCACAAUGGGCGCAAGCCUGAUGCAGCGACGCCGCGUGAGGGAUGACGGCCUUCGGGUUGCAAACCUCUUUCAGCACCGACGAAGCGCAAGUGACGGUAGGUGCAGAAGAAGGACCGGCCAACUACGUGCCAGCAGCCGCGGUAA
Molecule: ribosomal RNA, 478 nt
Filed under: uncultured bacterium
Lineage: Bacteria
Description: partial 16S ribosomal RNA
Rfam family: Bacterial small subunit ribosomal RNA
Source: RNAcentral